GAUCCUGGCUCAGGAUGAACGCUAGCUACAGGCUUAACACAUGCAAGUCGAGGGGCAGCAUGGUCUUAGCUUGCUAAGGCUGAUGGCGACCGGCGCACGGGUGAGUAACACGUAUCCAACCUGCCGUCUACUCUUGGCCAGCCUUCUAGAAAGGAAGAUUAAUCCAGGAUGGGAUCAUGAGUUCACAUGUCCGCAUGAUUAAAAGGUUAUUUUCCGGUAGACGAGUGGGG
RNAcentral lists this ribosomal RNA (230 nucleotides) under uncultured bacterium. RNAcentral's name for it is "partial 16S ribosomal RNA". It matches the Rfam family "Bacterial small subunit ribosomal RNA", at positions 15 to 231 of the family's 1533-position model. The record is from RNAcentral.